UUGGAGAUGCCUUAGGAAGA
RNAcentral lists this non-coding RNA (20 nucleotides) under Arabidopsis thaliana (thale cress). The record is from RNAcentral. Lineage: Eukaryota; Viridiplantae; Streptophyta; Magnoliopsida; Brassicales; Brassicaceae.